Molecule: ribosomal RNA, 560 nt
Filed under: uncultured bacterium
Lineage: Bacteria
Description: bacterial SSU rRNA
Rfam family: Bacterial small subunit ribosomal RNA
Source: RNAcentral
GAUGAGCCCGCGUUGGAUUAGCUAGUUGGUGGGGUAAAGGCCUACCAAGGCGACGAUCCAUAACUGGUCUGAGAGGAUGAUCAGCCACAUUGGGACUGAGACACGGCCCAAACUCCUACGGGAGGCAGCAGUGGGGAAUAUUGGACAAUGGGCGCAAGCCUGAUCCAGCCAUGCCGCGUGAGUGAUGAAGGCCUUAGGGUUGUAAAGCUCUUUCACCGGUGAAGAUAAUGACGGUAACCGGAGAAGAAGCCCCGGCUAACUUCGUGCCAGCAGCCGCGGUAAUACGAAGGGGGCUAGCGUUGUUCGGAAUUACUGGGCGUAAAGCGCACGUAGGCGGAUAUUUAAGUCAGGGGUGAAAUCCCAGAGCUCAACUCUGGAACUGCCUUUGAUACUGGGUAUCUUGAGUAUGGAAGAGGUAAGUGGAAUUGCGAGUGUAGAGGUGAAAUUCGUAGAUAUUCGCAGGAACACCAGUGGCGAAGGCGGCUUACUGGUCCAUUACUGACGCUGAGGUGCGAAGGCGUGGGGAGCAAACAGGAUUAGAUACCCUGGUAGUCCACGCC